AUUUAAGUAGCUUAAUAUAAAGCUUAAUAUUGAAGGUAUUAUGAUGGAUUAAAAAUUUCCUUAAAUA
Molecule: transfer RNA, 67 nt
Filed under: Physopelta sp.
Lineage: Eukaryota; Metazoa; Arthropoda; Insecta; Hemiptera; Largidae
Description: tRNA-Phe
Source: RNAcentral